CCUACGGGUGACUGCAGUGAGGAAUAUUGGUCAAUGGGCGCGAGCCUGAACCAGCCAAGUAGCGUGAAGGAUGACUGCCCUACGGGUUGUAAACUUCUUUUAUAAAGGAAUAAAGUGCGGCACGUGUGCCUUUCUGUAUGUACUUUAUGAAUAAGGAUCGGCUAACGCCGUGCCAGCAGCCGCGGUAAUACGGAGGAUCCGAGCGUUCUCCGGAUUUAUUGGGUUUAAAGGGAGCGUGGAUGGGUUGUUAAGUCAGUUGUGAAAGUUUGCGGCUCAACCGUAAAAUUGCAAUUGAUACUGGCAGUCUUGAGUACAGUUGAGGUAGGCGGAAUUCGUGGUGUAGCGGUGAAAUGCUUAGAUAUCACGAAGAACUCCGAUUGCGAAGGCAGCUUACUAAACUGCCACUGACAUUGAUGCUCGAAAGUGUGGGUAUCAAACAGGAUUAGAUACCCUGGUAGUC
This 460-nucleotide ribosomal RNA is filed under the name uncultured bacterium. Its description in RNAcentral is "partial 16S ribosomal RNA". It matches the Rfam family "Bacterial small subunit ribosomal RNA", at positions 338 to 795 of the family's 1533-position model. The record is from RNAcentral.